RNAcentral lists this ribosomal RNA (580 nucleotides) under uncultured bacterium. RNAcentral describes it as "partial 16S ribosomal RNA". It matches the Rfam family "Bacterial small subunit ribosomal RNA", at positions 355 to 925 of the family's 1533-position model. The record is from RNAcentral.
UGGGGAAUUUUGGACAAUGGGCGAAAGCCUGAUCCAGCAAUGCCGCGUGUGUGAAGAAGGCCUUCGGGUUGUAAAGCACUUUUGUCCGGAAAGAAAUCCUUGGCUCUAAUACAGUCGGGGGAUGACGGUACCGGAAGAAUAAGCACCGGCUAACUACGUGCCAGCAGCCGCGGUAAUACGUAGGGUGCAAGCGUUAAUCGGAAUUACUGGGCGUAAAGCGUGCGCAGGCGGUUUGCUAAGACCGAUGUGAAAUCCCCGGGCUCAACCUGGGAACUGCAUUGGUGACUGGCAGGCUAGAGUAUGGCAGAGGGGGGUAGAAUUCCACGUGUAGCAGUGAAAUGCGUAGAGAUGUGGAGGAAUACCGAUGGCGAAGGCAGCCCCCUGGGCCAAAUACUGACGCUCAUGCACGAAAGCGUGGGGGAGCAAACAGGAUUAGAUACCCUGGUAGUCCACGCCCUAAAACGAUGUCAACUAGUUGUUGGGGAUUCAUUUCCUUAGUAACGUAGCUAACGCGUGAAGUUGACCGCCUGGGGAGUACGGUCGCAAGAUUAAAACUUAAAUGAAUUGACGGGGUCAUAGC